CUUGAGGUGCGGGGCAGUGGGACGGCAGCUGCGUUGGAAGGUGGGCGUGGAGGAAGAGGCUUGUGGUGGAUGGUGAGAAAGUUCAUUCUGAGUAGAACAUAUGAACCAGUCUCACUGAGUUUCGAGUGGAGUGCUUGAGGAAGAGGAGGAAGAGCAGACAGUGGGGCCGGCAGCUGCAUUUGAAGGGGCGCACGAGGAUGGAUGGAGUUAAGGAGGAUGGAGAGGAGUUCACGCGAAGCGUUCGAGGAAGGAGCUGAGGAACGGACAGGAAGGACGGCAGACGGAAGUACGAGAAGGGAUACAGCUAAGGAGGACGGAGAGGUGGUAUGGGAGUAGUAGCUCUGUCUCGCCUACCACGUACUUUCCCGACAGUCGUAUGACUGCAAGCGUGAAGCAGAAAGAUACUGAUUGAUAGGUGCCUAAUUCGACUGGAUGGCAGCAUAGAAACGGUUACAGGUGGCUCGGGAUCACUCCUGAAUCCAGGCCUUUGGAUCGGCAACUUCUGUAGAAGACAAACAGAAUACAACCAGAAAAAAAAAAAAAAAACGAAUAGUGUCAUCUUCACUAAUUGUCCCUACAUCUGGCACGCCGCUUUCUCUCCAGAAACUUCAAUCAUCCGUUCAUUCUUCUCUCUACACAAUCAUCAUCCAUUCCCUUCCUGUCUUCUCCACUCUUUCAUUCCUAUUAUUCUCUAACUCAGAAUCACUUGCAUCAUCUCUCCUGUCUCUCUCUCAUACCUCUCACACUCCCAUAUCCUCUUCCAUGUCAGACGUCUGGCACACUUUGCUGCGGGACUCAGACCAUCUGUAAUUCCUUGCAUUCACAUCCAUGUACCUUUACUCGAAAAGAGAUCACCACCACCCAGGUUUCCAUCAUACCACCUUUUGCAUACAUCCAAUUCCAGACUGCUCUUUCGUUCCAUCUCAUUCUUCCGUUCAUUCGGUCCCACCCACUUCUCUGUCCAUUCAUUCCCCAGCCUGCCGCCUCUUGUCACGACCCAUUCACGGUCAUUUUUUACUCCCAGCCAUUCUCAUCACCCACUCCACUCUCUCAUUCUCAUGCAGCUCUUCCUCCAUUUGCUUUCCACUUUCAUUCCACAGAUACAUCUUUUCUUGCUGGUCUUGCAUCCAUCCAUUCUUUCAAGCCUAAUCUUGUACCCAACUGUCGCUUUUGUAAGUCUUUCCCUAAAUGUGCUCCAUCCCAUAUCACCUUUCAAAGCCUUUCACUUGCCCAUCCUUCUAACUUACCAAUUUCACUCUCAUUCCAUGACCUUAUUCACAAUUAUCCCUACCUAUGACCUUAUUCACAAUCAUCAUUACCUUACUUUUCUCACUGCUAAACCUAACAACUCCAAGUCCACACAUCUUACCAUUCAUUCUCCACACUUACUCCUGCAUAUUCAUUCAUUCUCAUUCUGGCUGCCAACCCUUUGUAUACAAGUUGAGAGUUUUGGUGACAAUAUAUACAUCCUUACCUAACUCCUCUCACACUCUUCAUUCACCCAGUCUGUAUUUAUUAGCUCUAGUGUCAACCAACAUACACAUACUAUUUUUAUUUAGUAUUUAUUUAGUAUUUAGUAUUUUUAUUUAUUUAUUUUUAUACAACCAUUGAAGAACACUAUGUGACCACGAAGAACACUAUGUGACCACAAGUUAUGAAGCACAACCUAGAAAAAAAAGUCUUAAUUCUAA
Molecule: long non-coding RNA, 1691 nt
Organism: Scylla paramamosain (green mud crab)
Lineage: Eukaryota; Metazoa; Arthropoda; Malacostraca; Decapoda; Portunidae
Exons: 4
Source: RefSeq, a predicted model, not a curated record